RNAcentral lists this non-coding RNA (175 nucleotides) under Sedimentibacter hydroxybenzoicus DSM 7310. RNAcentral describes it as "6S / SsrS RNA". It matches the Rfam family "6S / SsrS RNA". Rfam says of the family: E. coli 6S RNA was the first non coding RNA to be sequenced, but its function was unknown until recently. It consists of 184 nucleotides that fold into an extended hairpin structure with a large single-stranded internal bulge. The 6S RNA specifically associates with RNA polymerase holoenzyme containing the sigma70 specificity factor. Lineage: Bacteria; Bacillati; Bacillota; Tissierellia. The record is from Rfam by way of RNAcentral.
AAAGGCCUGCGGAGUGCGGAAGCUUAUUAAUUCAACCGACAUAUUGUAAAAGGGAAUUCGUGUUUAAGUGCAGAUGACAUGCCCGCCUUGACGGGAAAUCAGAACCAAUUAACAGAAAUCCCACCUGCUUAGAUGCGGGUGUGAAUUAAAGGCUUGCGGCUCAUGCGGGUAUUUU